CAUGAAGCUGGAUUCGCUAGUAAUCGCGCAUCAGCCAUGGCGCGGUGAAUACGUUCCCGGGCCUUGUACACACCGCCCGUCAAGCCAUGGGAGCCGGGAGUGCCUGAAGUGCGUGACCGCAAGGAGCGCCCUAAGGCAAGACCGGUGACUGGGGCUAAGUCGUAACAAGGUAAC
Molecule: ribosomal RNA, 174 nt
Filed under: uncultured bacterium
Lineage: Bacteria
Description: partial 16S ribosomal RNA
Rfam family: Bacterial small subunit ribosomal RNA
Source: RNAcentral